GGUCUUUCACCUCCGUUGCUUCUUUGGGCUCUUCUGCCCUCAUCUCCGUCUUCGGGAGCCUGGCUGGGAUCACCUGCUCAUCAAAUGAAGGAAGUUGAAGGUUAAACUUGCCUCUGAGACGAGGGAUCCUCAGGGGCCUGAGGUGUCCAAACAUCGUGGAGUUGCGAGCAGACAGCGCAGGUUUCUUCCUCGAGGGGGGGCUCCAGACCACAGGAGGCAGGACCCUCUGUGGGGUGCCCGUGUUCUGAGGGCUAAGACACAGCCUCAUAGGGGCACCAUCCCACCUGUCUGGAAAAGAAGGCCCAAGAUGUCGCUGACGGUUGAAGAGUGGGAAAUGGCCCCAGAUUCCCCGGGCAGGCACAGGUGCAGGAGCCGCGGGGUGAGCCCGGCCAGCUGGGAAGGCCUCACGGACAAGACGAGCAGGUGGCCGAUGGCAUGGCCAGGACCUGCGGCGGAACCAGGAACAAAAUACGCUUAGUGAGUUGCCCAUUUUGAGCGAGUUGUGCACAGACGAAAGUAAGGGUGAGAAGCGGAGAGGAUACUCCUAAGUCACCCACUUCUCUGUGGCCGGGUGCACACUGGGCAUCUGGGAGUUUAUGACAUCACAAUGGGGCUGGUGACAGAGCUAGGGUGUGGAGGAGUGCUUAGGAGCCCAGCGAGGGUGCCUACAAGAGGAGUCAAAGGGCAAAGGGUGAGACCCUUCCACCGGUUCCCCUGGACUCUAGCCUCAGGGACGUCCUGCUCCUGGGGGCAGUCCUGGGGUACUUAGCACCGUGGCAUAUCUGUAAUAAGCACAUGCACACCUCGAAGGAGGUCUUCACUUCAACAUACAAGUUGACCAUGGCAUGCUCUGGGCUCCAGUCCUCUACAAAGAUGUAGGGCAGGAACUACCAGUUGUCAGCACAGCACCAUCCCACAUUGCUCUUCUAAUGGAGACUUUCACCCCAGAUGUUCUUUCUCGUCUGAUGGGAAGGAUCCAAAUGAAAAAAUUGAGGCUCAAAGAAGUCCACCAAAUUGAGAGUGAAGUAGGGGAAACAGCAUUUAACGCUUACAUUCUAAUGAUUUGUGUAAGAGCAGCAGGACAAGCUAUACAAAGAAAAAGGUGGAAUUAUCAGGAUGGAAUUAAAGAUGCUUCCAAACAGAGGGGAUAUCUCAAGCCAUGACUCAGAGACUUAAAGAGAGGGAGAAAGAGGA
This 1194-nucleotide long non-coding RNA is filed under the name Homo sapiens (human). RNAcentral's name for it is "HSALNT0232019". The record is from RNAcentral. Lineage: Eukaryota; Metazoa; Chordata; Mammalia; Primates; Hominidae.